CCUACGGGAGGCAGCAGUGAGGAAUAUUGGUCAAUGGGCGUAAGCCUGAACCAGCCAAGUCGCGUGAGGGAUGAAGGUUCUAUGGAUCGUAAACCUCUUUUAUCAGGGAAUAAAGUGUGGGACGGGUCCUAUUUUGUAUGUACCUUAUGAAUAAGGAUCGGCUAACUCCGUGCCAGCAGCCGCGGUAAUACGUAGGAUCCGGGCGUUAUCCGGAUUUAUUGGGUUUAAAGGGGGCGUAGGCGGCCUUUUAAGUCAGCGGGUAAAGUUUGUGGGUCAACCAUGGAAUUGCCGUUGAAACUGGGGGGCUUGAGUAGGUUAGAGGGAGGCGGAAUGAGUGGUGUAGCGGUGACAUGCAUAGAUAUCACGCAGAACCCCGAUUGCGAAGGCAGCCUGCCAAGCCAUGACUGACGCUGAUGCACGAAAGCGUGGGGAUCAAACAGGAUUAGAUACCCCAGUAGUC
RNAcentral lists this ribosomal RNA (460 nucleotides) under uncultured bacterium. RNAcentral describes it as "partial 16S ribosomal RNA". It matches the Rfam family "Bacterial small subunit ribosomal RNA", at positions 338 to 795 of the family's 1533-position model. The record is from RNAcentral.